AUGAUGCGGUUGAGUUUGUCCUCCCAGCUCAGAGCGUCCUCCUCGAACACCUGUGAGAACAGAGAGACUGCUGGGACACACGGCUCCUCACGAACACACACUCGCUCUCGUUCUCUUCAGUACCUUGUAGUAGGGCGAGAGCUUCAUGGCCGACACACUGUUGAUGUGCUCCUUCACUUUGUUGAACAGAUCGUCCCAUCCUCGAAUCAGACGACACUUGUUCUGAUAGUUGACCAGGUCGAGCUCGUACGAGUUCCACACUUCACGAAUCUGCAGCGAAGAGGAAGGAGUGUUAGAACACACACUCUCACACACGCACUCACUCUCUCACUCUCACUCAUGCAUACUCUCACACACACACUCUCACACACACUUUUUCUCUCUCUCACACACACACUUUUUCUCUCUCACUCACACACUCACUCUCUCACACUCGCACACAAACACACACUCUCACACACACUCUCGCUCUCUCUCUCUCUCACACUUUUUCUCUCUCUCACACACACACACACACACACUCUUUCUCUCUCUCUCACUCACACACUCACUCUCUCACACUCGCACACACACACUCUCGCUCUCUCUCUCACACACACUCACACACACUCUCUCUCUCUCUCUCACUCACACACUCACUCUCUCUCUCUCACACACACACACUCACUCUCUCUCACACACACACACUCACUCUCUCUCACACACACACACACGCACUCAAACUCUCAAACACGCACGCACUCACACUCUCUCACAGACUCUCACACUCUCUCACACACACACACACUCAAACUCUCAAACACACACACACAAACACACUCAAACUCUCAAACACACACACACUCAAACUCUCAAACACGCACACACUCAAACUCUCAAACACGCACACACUCACACUCUCUCUCUCAAACACACACAUUCUCUCACAAACACACACACACUCUCUCUCUCACUCUCACACACUUUCAUACUCACACUUUCACUCAAGCACACUCACUCUCACACAAGCACACUCACACAAGUACACGCACUCUCUCACAUGCACUCUCACUCACUCUUUCUCACACACUCUCACUCGCACACACACACUCACAUAAGCAGUCACACGCACACUCUCACUCACACUCUCACACACACACUCACUCUCACUCACACUCUCACACCUGCUUGAGGAACUCCUCGAGGGCCAUCUCUCCCUGUGCCACCAGCAGCACGUCCUUCACCACCAUCUCGUUCUUCUGCAGGUCCACGUCCCAGAUCUGA
Molecule: long non-coding RNA, 1263 nt
Filed under: Carassius auratus (goldfish)
Lineage: Eukaryota; Metazoa; Chordata; Actinopteri; Cypriniformes; Cyprinidae
Description: lncRNA (ENSCARG00000062986.1)
Source: RNAcentral